Molecule: long non-coding RNA, 382 nt
Organism: Topomyia yanbarensis
Lineage: Eukaryota; Metazoa; Arthropoda; Insecta; Diptera; Culicidae
Exons: 3
Source: RefSeq, a predicted model, not a curated record
UCGCUCUCACAUCAAACAUAGCCAUCACUCACUCUCUCACUGUUGGUGGUUUCGCAUCUGUCAAACCUUAUUCGUUUCUACUUCCAUCUGUUCCGUAUUGAGAUAAUGUAUACAACACACACUUUUGGCCUUUUGAAACAUUUCAUUACUCAGUCUGCUUGGGAUGUGCGCGGGGUUCUUCUGUUGUAGAUUUGCGUUCUGUGUUUCCUGUUUAAAUGUCCAAAAUAACUUGACUAAGAUAAUACUGUUACCGUUUUUUGCCCUGAAGAUGAAGGCGUAGACCUUCGAAACGUUGGUAUUAGACGAAAUAUAGAUAUUGUCGUAUGAAAACCGUGACCAAAAAGCCAUCUCUUCAUAUUAAAAACAAAGUGGUCGUCCUUCC